GCAGGGCGCGGCCGAGCAGCGGAGCUCGCUCUGCUCGGCCGGCCUCGGGCAAGAAGAAGGCGACUGGGCUGUGCAGGGCCGAGCUCCCCCCUCUGAAGGCACGGCUCCCGGGGCAGCAGAGGAGAAUGCCAGUUUGGAUCAAUGCCCCUGGCUCAGCCAUCAGUAAGGGAGGAGAAGGAGCAGCAUCUCGGUCCUCGUGGGCUGAUAUCUUCGAAUUGAAAUGAAGGAGAGACCAAACAUUCACAAAAAAUGUACCAGGGAAAUGCAGUACUGCUGUGUGAGAGAGCAAGGACACUCCUCUUAACCAGUCCUUCAUGUAUUUAUUCCGAACCCUUGAUAAGUCUGCAGGGUGUUGCAUGCUGCAAACACUGACAUUUGAUAUCUAAUUGUUGUAGUGCUAUUGCUGCUAAGUAUUAAGUGAAAAUGGAAAUAAAAAGUUGGAUGGGGGCCUUGGGCAGCCCGGUCUAGUAUUAAAUGGGGAGGUUGGUGGCCAUGCCAGUUACAGAGGUGUUGCAGAUUCAUGAUCCCUGAGGUCCCUUCCAACCUGGGCCAUUCUGUGAUUCUCUAAUAUUCAAGGUAUUGUUUUCCUACGUGUGUUUUUAUGCAUUCUUUUUUUGUUGUGGUUGUUGUCAGUUCCCGGGUUUUGUAUGUUGUACCUGGUGGUAUUUGAGCACUGUAUUCAUUUUUGGAUUGGUUUGAUUUCUUUCUCAACAUGAAGUCUGAAUGAAUGGUUCUAGAGCAUUUCAGGAUUAUGGAAUAUAGAUAUGAAGAGAUAAUAAAAUCUUCAAAGCCAUGUGCUAUUUCCCAUUGCUCACAUAUUUCCUAGAGUUGAAUGCCUGGUCACAGAAACCAAUAAAAUCUGCUGAGAAAUCUGUCAGAAGAUGAGCUUCAAUCUUACGUACAAAGUUAUUAUUGUAGUGAAAAGGUGCAUUAAGGCUCACUGUUGCUGUUACAGCCUUCUCCACCUGAAGCUGAAGGAGAACGUGUCCCUAUGAAAUGAGGGCAGUGAUUGUGAG
This 1016-nucleotide long non-coding RNA is filed under the name Gallus gallus (chicken). The record is from RNAcentral. Lineage: Eukaryota; Metazoa; Chordata; Aves; Galliformes; Phasianidae.